This 337-nucleotide unclassified non-coding RNA is filed under the name soil metagenome. RNAcentral describes it as "partial contains 5.8S ribosomal RNA, internal transcribed spacer 2, and large subunit ribosomal RNA". The stretch from base 1 to 120 matches the Rfam family "5.8S ribosomal RNA", at positions 35 to 154 of the family's 154-position model. The record is from RNAcentral.
GAUGAAGAACGUAGCGAAAUGCGAUAAGUAAUGUGAAUUGCAGAAUUCAGUGAAUCAUCGAAUCUUUGAACGCACAUUGCGCCCGCCAGUAUUCUGGCGGGCAUGCCUGUUCGAGCGUCAUUUCAACCAUCAAGCCCCCGGGCUUGUGUUGGGGACCUGCGGCUGCCGCAGGCCCUGAAGAGCAGUGGCGGGCUCGCUGUCACACCGAGCGUAGUAGCAUACAUCUCGCUCUGGGCGUGCUGCGGGUUCCGGCCGUUAAACUACCCUUUUAACCCAAGGUUGACCUCGGAUCAGGUAGGAAGACCCGCUGAACUUAAGCAUAUCAAUAAGCGGAGGA